AUUGAACGCUGGCGGCAUGCUUUACACAUGCAAGUCGGACGGCAGCACAGAGAAGCUUGCUUCUUGGGUGGCGAGUGGCGAACGGGUGAGUAAUAUAUCGGAACGUACCGAGUAAUGGGGGAUAACUAAUCGAAAGAUUAGCUAAUACCGCAUAUUCUCUGAGGAGGAAAGCAGGGGACCUUCGGGCCUUGCGUUAUUCGAGCGGCCGAUAUCUGAUUAGCUAGUUGGUGGGGUAAAGGCCUACCAAGGCGACGAUCAGUAGCGGGUCUGAGAGGAUGAUCGGCCACACUGGGACUUAGACACGGCCCAGACUCCUGCGGGAGGCAGCAGUGGGGAAUUUUAGACAGUGGGCGCAAGCCUGAUCCAGCCAUGCCGCGUGUCUGAAGAAGGCCUUCGGGUUGUAAAGGACUUUUGUCAGGGAAGAAAAGGCUGUUGCUAAUACCGACAGCUGAUGACGGUACCUGAAGAAUAAGCACCGGCUAACUACGUG
Molecule: ribosomal RNA, 490 nt
Filed under: uncultured bacterium
Lineage: Bacteria
Description: partial 16S ribosomal RNA
Rfam family: Bacterial small subunit ribosomal RNA
Source: RNAcentral